Molecule: ribosomal RNA, 476 nt
Filed under: uncultured bacterium
Lineage: Bacteria
Description: partial 16S ribosomal RNA
Rfam family: Bacterial small subunit ribosomal RNA
Source: RNAcentral
GAUGAACGCUGGCGGCGUGCUUAACACAUGCAAGUCGAGCGAGAGAGUUCUUCGGAACAAUCUAGCGGCGGACGGGUGAGUAACACGUGGGCAACCUGCCUCAUAGAGGGGAAUAGCCUUCCGAAAGGAAGAUUAAUACCGCAUAACACCGCUGAAGGGCAUCCUUCGAUGAUCAAAGGAGCAAUCCGCUAUGAGAUGGGCCCGCGGCGCAUUAGCUAGUUGGUGAGGUAACGGCUCACCAAGGCGACGAUGCGUAGCCGACCUGAGAGGGUGAUCGGCCACAUUGGGACUGAGACACGGCCCAGACUCCUACGGGAGGCAGCAGUGGGGAAUAUUGCACAAUGGGGGAAACCCUGAUGCAGCAACGCCGCGUGAGUGAUGACGGCCUUCGGGUUGUAAAGCUCUGUCUUUGGGGACGAUAAUGGCGGUACCCAAGGAGGAAGUCACGGCUAACUACGUGCCAGCAGCCGCAGUAA